CCUACGGGGGGCAGCAGUGGGGAAUAUUGCGCAAUGGGCGAAAGCCUGACGCAGCGACGCCGCGUGAGGGAUGAAGGUCUUCGGAUCGUAAACCUCUGUCAGCAGGGAAGAACGGUCACUGUGCUAAUCAGCAGUGAAUUGACGGUACCUGCAAAGGAAGCACCGGCUAACUCCGUGCCAGCAGCCGCGGUAAUACGGAGGGUGCGAGCGUUAAUCGGACUUACUGGGCGUAAAGCGCUCGUAGGCGGUAUGUCAAGUCAAGGGUGAAAUCCCCGCGCUCAACGUGGGAACUGCCUUUGAAACUGGCAAACUGGAGUGUGUGAGAGGAUAGUGGAAUUCCAGGUGUAGGAGUGAAAGCCGUAGAUAUCUGGAGGAAAAUCAGUGGCGAAGGCGACUAUCUGGCACAUAACUGACGCUGAGGAGCGAAAGCGUGGGUAGCAAACAGGAUUAGAUACCCUGGUAGUC
Molecule: ribosomal RNA, 465 nt
Filed under: uncultured bacterium
Lineage: Bacteria
Description: partial 16S ribosomal RNA
Rfam family: Bacterial small subunit ribosomal RNA
Source: RNAcentral